Molecule: ribosomal RNA, 173 nt
Filed under: Boana cordobae
Lineage: Eukaryota; Metazoa; Chordata; Amphibia; Anura; Hylidae
Description: Hypsiboas cordobae partial 16S ribosomal RNA
Source: RNAcentral
ACGUGAUCUGAGUUCAGACCGGAGUAAUCCAGGUCAGUUUCUAUCUAUAAAGGGCUUUUUCUAGUACGAAAGGACCGAAAAAGCAUGGCCAAUGACUUAUUAAGCCAUAUUAUAAACUUAUGAUUUCAUCUUAAUAAUUUAAAUACCUUUUAUUUUUCCCUAAGAUAAGAGAA